GCUAAACGCGAAGAACCUUACCCACCUUGUACAUGUACGGAAUCCUUUAGAGAUAGAGGAGUGCUCGAAAGAGAGCCGUAACACAGGUGCUGCAUGGCUGUCGUCAGCUCGUGUCGUGAGAUGUUGGGUUAAGUCCGCAACGAGCGCAACCCUUGCCAUUAGUUGCUACGAAAGGGCACUCUAAUGGGACUGCCGGUGACAAACCGGAGGAAGGUGGGGAUGACGUCAAGUCCUCAUGGCCCUUAUAGGUGGGGCUACACACGUCAUACAAUGGCUGGUACAAAGGGUUNCCAACCCGCGAGGGGAGCUAAUCCCAUAAAGCCAGUCGUAGUCCGGAUCGCAGUCUGCAACUCGACUGCGUGAAGUCGGAAUCGCUAGUAAUCGCAAAUCAGCAUGUUGC
RNAcentral lists this ribosomal RNA (400 nucleotides) under uncultured bacterium. RNAcentral describes it as "bacterial SSU rRNA". It matches the Rfam family "Bacterial small subunit ribosomal RNA", at positions 954 to 1360 of the family's 1533-position model. The record is from RNAcentral.